AAUUUGAUCUGGUUCAGGAUGAACGCUAGCUACAGGCUUAACACAUGCAAGUCGAGGGGCAGCAUUGGAGUAGCAAUACUCAGAUGGCGACCGGCGCACGGGUGAGUUAACACGUAUCCAACCUGCCGCUUACUCGGGGAUAGCCUUUCGAAAGAAAGAUUAAUACCCGGAUGGUAUAAAGAGUUCGCAUGUUCUCUUUAUUAAAGAAUUUCGGUAAGCGAUGGGGAUGCGUUCCAUUAGAUAGUUGGCGGGGUAACGGCCCACCAAGUCUACGAUGGAUAGGGGUUCUGAGAGGAAGGUCCCCCACAUUGGAACUGAGACACGGUCCAAACUCCUACGGGAGGCAGCAGGUGAGGAAUAUUGGUCAAUGGACGAGAGUCUGAACCAGCCAAAAGUAGCGUGAAGGAUGACUGCCCUAUUGGGUUGUAAACUUCUUUUAUAAGGGAAUAAAGUGAGGGACGUGUCCCUUUUUGUAUGUACCUUAUGAAUAAGGAUCGGCUAACUCCGUGCCAGCCGCCGC
Molecule: ribosomal RNA, 520 nt
Filed under: uncultured bacterium
Lineage: Bacteria
Description: bacterial SSU rRNA
Rfam family: Bacterial small subunit ribosomal RNA
Source: RNAcentral